GAAGUUGGCCAGGCAGUCGCUGCGUUCGUUCGCAAGAACGGACGGGGAGGAAAGUCCGGGCUCCGCAGAGCAGGAUGCCGGUUAAUGGCCGGACGUCGUGAGGCGAUGGAAAGUGGCGCAGAGAGCUGAACCGCCGAUGGCCGGAGGAAGCGUUCGCAAGAACGCGGACUCUUGAUUUCGCCGCGCAAGCGGCGGGACGGAUCAGGCAAGGGUGAAAAGGUGUACUGGCCGGGCGAGAGUCCGGUCGGACAGAUAGGGUGUGGUGCCCUAUUCUGCGGUAAGAGCGCACCGCGGACGUGGUAACACGGACGGCAGGCAAAACCCCAUCCGGAGCAAGACCAAAUAGGGGGAAUUGACGUUGCUCGCGUAUAUCCCCGGGUAGGUCGCUUGAGCCUGUCGGUAACGGCAGGCCUAGAGGAAUGACUGUCCAACGACAAGACCCGGCUUAUCGGCCAACUUCCACC
This is a non-coding RNA of Chromobacterium sp. LK11, 464 nucleotides long. Lineage: Bacteria; Pseudomonadati; Pseudomonadota; Betaproteobacteria; Neisseriales; Chromobacteriaceae. The record is from Rfam.